Molecule: ribosomal RNA, 439 nt
Filed under: uncultured bacterium
Lineage: Bacteria
Description: partial 16S ribosomal RNA
Rfam family: Bacterial small subunit ribosomal RNA
Source: RNAcentral
UCUACGGGUGGCAGCAGUGGGGGAUAUUGCACAAUGGGGGGAACCCUGAUGCAGCGACGCCGCGUGGGUGAAGAAGCGCCUCGGCGCGUAAAGCCCUGUCAGCAGGGAAGAAAAUGACGGUACCUGAAGAAGAAGCCCCGGCUAACUACGUGCCAGCAGCCGCGGUAAUACGUAGGGGGCAAGCGUUAUCCGGAUUUAUUGGUUUUAAAGGGUGCGUAGGCGGAAUGCCAAGUCAGCGGUAAAAUCGCGGGGCUCAACCUCGCUCCGCCGUUGAAACUGGCGUUCUUGAGUGGGCGAGAAGUAUGCGGAAUGCGUGGUGUAGCGGUGAAAUGCAUAGAUAUCACGCAGAACUCCGAUUGCGAAGGCAGCUUACCAAACUAUAUCUGACGUUGAGGCACGAAAGCGUGGGUAGCAAACAGGAUUAGAUACCCGAGUAGUC